Molecule: ribosomal RNA, 474 nt
Filed under: uncultured Nitrososphaerota archaeon
Lineage: Archaea; Thermoproteati; Nitrososphaerota
Description: bacterial SSU rRNA
Rfam family: Archaeal small subunit ribosomal RNA
Source: RNAcentral
CUGCGGCCUAUCAGUUUGUUGGUGAGGUAAUGGCCCACCAAGACUAUUACAGGUACGGGCUCUGAGAGGAGUAGCCCGGAGAUGGGUACUGAGACACGGACCCAGGCCCUAUGGGGCGCAGCAGGCGAGAAAACUUUGCAAUGUGCGAAAGCACGACAAGGUUAAUCCGAGUGGUUUCUGCUAAAGGAACCUUUUGUCGGUCCUAGAAACACCGAUGAAUAAGGGGUGGGCAAGUUCUGGUGUCAGCCGCCGCGGUAAAACCAGCACCUCAAGUGGUCAGGAUGAUUAUUGGGCCUAAAGCAUCCGUAGCCGGCUCUGUAAGUUUUCGGUUAAAUCUGUACGCUUAACGUACAGGCUGCCGGGAAUACUGCAGAGCUAGGUAGUGGGAGAGGUAGACGGUACUCGGUAGGAAGGGGUAAAAUCCUUUGAUCUAUUGAUGACCACCUGUGGCGAAGGCGGUCUACCAGAACACGU